This is a non-coding RNA of Pelobates cultripes (western spadefoot toad), 319 nucleotides long. The record is from the annotation of a GenBank genome assembly. NCBI's taxonomy places the organism in Eukaryota, Metazoa, Chordata, Amphibia, Anura, Pelobatidae.
AAUUGAUCCUCAUGCCGCCGAAGGUUUUUAAAUUAUUUGCCCAUUGGCUGCUAGCUCUGCCAGCGUGCAAAUAGUACUCAAAUCAUUCACUUCUAAAAUAAAAGUGGAUGAUUGUUUGCAAAUGUCAAUCCUGCCGCAUGCAUUCAGUUUAUUUUCGCCCGCCAUGUGGUAGUUGAUAAAUCUCCAAAUGCUGUGCUUUAUAAUGGUUGGAAUGUGGCUAUUACGGAUUUUUUAAAGUCUUUAGAAUAAAUGGUAUGGAAUUGGUCAGGAAGACCGAAUCCUUACCGCAUUUGACUUUAGUAAACCCGCGAUUGGAAAU